GAUGAACGCUAGCUACAGGCUUAACACAUGCAAGUCGAGGGACCGGCGCACGGGUGAGUAACACGUAUCCAACCUGCCCUUUACUCGGCGAUAGCCUUUCGAAAGAAAGAUUAAUACCCGAUAUAAAGCAUGGGGAUGCGUUCCAUUAGGUUGUUGGUGAGGUAACGGCCCACCAAGCCUUCGAUGGAUAGGGGUUCUGAGAGGAAGGGCACCCACAUUGGAACGGAAGAACGAUCCAAACUCCUACGGGAGGAGGAAGUGAGGAAAAUAGGGGAAGGGGCGGUAGCGUGAAGCAGGCAAGGAGCGUGAAGGAUAAAGGAUUAUGGGUAGUUAAAUUCUUUUAAAAAAGAGAGUGUAUUAUAUGAGUAAGAAUCGGCUAACGCCGUGCCAGCAGCCGCGGUAAUUC
Molecule: ribosomal RNA, 406 nt
Filed under: uncultured bacterium
Lineage: Bacteria
Description: partial 16S ribosomal RNA
Rfam family: Bacterial small subunit ribosomal RNA
Source: RNAcentral